This 22-nucleotide non-coding RNA is filed under the name Xenopus laevis (African clawed frog). Its record names the gene xla-miR-15c-3p. RNAcentral also lists the same sequence under 1 other name. The record is from miRBase by way of RNAcentral. Lineage: Eukaryota; Metazoa; Chordata; Amphibia; Anura; Pipidae.
CAGACCAUUCUGAGCUGCCUCU